This 492-nucleotide ribosomal RNA is filed under the name uncultured bacterium. RNAcentral's name for it is "partial 16S ribosomal RNA". It matches the Rfam family "Bacterial small subunit ribosomal RNA", at positions 29 to 507 of the family's 1533-position model. The record is from RNAcentral.
AGUGAACGCUGGCGGUAGGCCUAACACAUGCAGGUCGAACGGCAGCACAGUAAGAGCUUGCUCUUACGGGUGGCGAGUGGCGGACGGGUGAGGAAUACAUCGGAAUCUACUUUUUCGUGGGGGAUAACGUAGGGAAACUUACGCUAAUACCGCAUACGACCUACGGGUGAAAGCAGGGGAUCUUCGGACCUUGCGCGAUUGAAUGAGCCGAUGUCGGAUUAGCUAGUUGGCGGGGUAAAGGCCCACCAAGGCGACGAUCCGUAGCUGGUCUGAGAGGAUGAUCCGCCACACUGGAACUGAGACACGGUCCAGACUCCUACGGGAGGCAGCAGUGGGGAAUAUUGGACAAUGGGCGCAAGCCUGAUCCAGCCAUACCGCGUGGGUGAAGAAGGCCUUCGGGUUGUAAAGCCCUUUUGUUGGGAAAGAAAAGCAGCAGGUUAAUACCCCGCUGUUCUGACGGUACCCAAAGAAUAAGCACCGGCUAACUUCGUG